UCGAACUAUUUGAUCUUCAAAUAAUUUUAUCUGACAAUUACUCAAGUACUUUACACCUCUGAUCCCCACACAUUGUAGUUGAUAUGUUGAUGGGUACAAUUUGUAUUUCCCUUUUUUGAUAGUGUAGCCUAUAUAUAUAUAUACUCUUGUAGUGUCAGUUUUUAAGAACAGCCCAACAAACACACAACGUUGGCACAACGUAGCCAACCUUCUAACAACGUGGCCAAAAGGUUGCUAUAACUACGUUGCGUUGUGAACGUUGUUACAGCGUUGUCACAAUGUUGACAUCUGACCACCGCUCAGUUCCAUUGCUCAAGGUUGCGCUUUGGUGUCUGGACUACCACUGGACGACGUCUACUCGUCACUGCUCCUGUUCCUCUGGAGCGCGCAUUUUAAAUUACAAAUGACCGUUGAACCGUCUCUUCAUCGAGCCAGGAUACGCUAAGUUCUUAACUCAUAUCUUUCAGUCAGGUGACUGGAGCAGAGACCUGGAGGGCAAAACACCCACAGAACUGCAGGACAGGCCUGUUAAUUUUCCAUCUGUUUCAAACAACAAAUAUUACAUUGUGUCUCAAAAAAAGGUGGGUGUUCCUAUGAAAACUAUCAAUGAAGGUAAGCAUACACUAUUUUAAUUAUUUUCUUGUAAACAAUUGAAUGGGUCUAUUAAUAAAUCUAUUAAAUUUAAUAUUAAAGAUUAAGUAACAAUAAAAAAGUAAGUAACACUUUCAGAAUGUUUUCAUUAGUGAGAUUCACCUCAGAUCAGUGCAGCUGUAAUUCCUGAUGCAUGGAUGCAUUAGAUAAGUACUGUGUGAAAGUGUUGUUAGAUACAAAUCUCUCUCUCUUUCUUUUUUUUUAUU
Long non-coding RNA from Megalobrama amblycephala (Wuchang bream), 857 nucleotides. RefSeq lists it as uncharacterized. NCBI's taxonomy places the organism in Eukaryota, Metazoa, Chordata, Actinopteri, Cypriniformes, Xenocyprididae. The transcript is spliced from 3 exons. The record is from RefSeq and is a predicted model, not a curated record.